This 347-nucleotide long non-coding RNA is filed under the name Solanum tuberosum (potato). RNAcentral describes it as "long non-coding RNA (STUB_LNC003549)". Lineage: Eukaryota; Viridiplantae; Streptophyta; Magnoliopsida; Solanales; Solanaceae. The record is from RNAcentral.
UAGUUUUAAUUUUCUAGUUGUGAAAAUGUUCUUAAACUUUAUUGUGUCUUACCAAGUUCUUCAAAGUUUUGUUCUAAGUAUCUUAGGAAUACAAGAUGAACAACAAAUACAUUAUAAUUCUAUUAAGUCAAACAAAUAAACUAAUAAAAUGAAAAAAAAUGAAAUACGAUAAUUUACCAUUCCAUUUAACGUGACAUAUGAUCUAGUUAGUCUAAUUUUGAAUAUUGGUAAGGGAGGAUUAGACACUGGAGUAAAGUCUAUCAUUGGUGUAUUGAGAAUAGAGAUUGGUGUAAAUCGUGAGUUAGUAUUGGAUAUUUAUAGCGUUAUUAAAUUUUUUGACUUUCCAC